Molecule: ribosomal RNA, 464 nt
Filed under: uncultured bacterium
Lineage: Bacteria
Description: partial 16S ribosomal RNA
Rfam family: Bacterial small subunit ribosomal RNA
Source: RNAcentral
ACGAACGCUGGCGGCGUGCUUAACACAUGCAAGUCGAACGGAAAGGCCCCCUUGUGGGGUACUCGAGUGGCGAACGGGUGAGUAACACGUGAGUAACCUACCCUUGACUUUGGGAUAACUUCAGGAAACUGGGGCUAAUACCGGAUAGGAGCUCCUGCUGCAUGGUGGGGGUUGGAAAGUUUCGGCGGUUGGGGAUGGACUCGCGGCUUAUCAGCUUGUUGGUGGGGUAGUGGCUCACCAAGGCUUUGACGGGUAGCCGGCCUGAGAGGGUGACCGGCCACAUUGGGACUGAGAUACGGCCCAGACUCCUACGGGAGGCAGCAGUGGGGAAUAUUGCACAAUGGGCGGAAGCCUGAUGCAGCAACGCCGCGUGCGGGAUGACGGCCUUCGGGUUGUAAACCGCUUUCGCCUGUGACGAAGCGUGGGUGACGGUAAUGGGUAAAGAAGCACCGGCUAACUACGUG